CCUACGGGAGGCAGCAGUGGGGGAUAUUGGACAAUGGACGAAAGUCUGAACCAGCGAAGUAGCGUGAAGGAUGAAUGCCCUAUGGGUGGUAAGCUUCGUUUAUAUGGAAGUAAAAUGUUCCACGUGUGGGAUUUUGUAUGUACCAUAUGAAUAAGGAACGGCUAACUCCGUGCCAGCAGCCGCGGUAAUACGGAGGAUCCGAGCGUUAUCCGGAUUUAGUGGGUGUAACGGGAGCGUAGGUGGAUUGGUAAGUCAGUUGUGAAAGUUUGCGGCUCAACCGUAAAAUUGCAGUUGAAACUGGCAGUCUUGAGUACAGUAGAGGUGGGCGGAAUUCGUGGUGUAGCGGUGAAAUGCGUAGAUAUCACGAAGAACACCGGUGGCGAAGGCAGCCUACUGGACUGCAACUGACAUUGAGGCUCGAAAGUGUGGGUAGCAAACAGGAUUAGAUACCCUUGUAGUC
Molecule: ribosomal RNA, 460 nt
Filed under: uncultured bacterium
Lineage: Bacteria
Description: partial 16S ribosomal RNA
Rfam family: Bacterial small subunit ribosomal RNA
Source: RNAcentral